GAUGAACGCUGGCGGCGUGCCUAAUACAUGCAAGUCGAGCGAACAGACGAGGAGCUUGCUCCUCUGACGUUAGCGGCGGACGGGUGAGUAACACGUGGAUAACCUACCUAUAAGACUGGGAUAACUUCGGGAAACCGGAGCUAAUACCGGAUAACAUGUUGAACCGCAUGGUUCAACAGUGAAAGACGGUCUUGCUGUCACUUAUAGAUGGAUCCGCGCCGCAUUAGCUAGUUGGUAAGGUAACGGCUUACCAAGGCAACGAUGCGUAGCCGACCUGAGAGGGUGAAUCGCCCACCUGGAAACUGGAACCGGUCCCAACUCCCACGGGGGGGCAGCGUGGGGGAUAUUUCCCAAUGGGGGCAAACCCUGACGGGGCAUCCCCGGUGGGGGAAAAAGGGUCUCGGGUUGUAAAACCCUUGUUUUUGGGGAAAAAAAAAUGUGUAAGUAACUAUGCCCUUCUGACGGUUCCCUAAUGAAAAACCCCCGGUAAAUUCCUG
This 497-nucleotide ribosomal RNA is filed under the name uncultured bacterium. RNAcentral's name for it is "partial 16S ribosomal RNA". It matches the Rfam family "Bacterial small subunit ribosomal RNA", at positions 28 to 507 of the family's 1533-position model. The record is from RNAcentral.